Molecule: long non-coding RNA, 1097 nt
Organism: Cyprinus carpio carpio
Lineage: Eukaryota; Metazoa; Chordata; Actinopteri; Cypriniformes; Cyprinidae
Source: Ensembl
GAGUAGAGGAGUGUUCGCUCUUCUCAGUCCACUGAGUGUUUCUGUGGAAGCUGAAGGAUCUCAGAUGGUUGUGCUGGGAAACUGUUCCGCGUCUGCUCUCAUCUGUCUGUCAGCGGAUGCUCAGGCGUUUGCUCUGAUUGUUCUGGAUUAUUGUGUUUGGCCGGAGGGAUGCAGUCCAGCCCCUAAAGUCAGAGACGUGACUCCUGGAGAGUGUGCUUCAGUUUCUCCUGAGGAGAGGAUACACCAGCCUUCAGAGCAGUGACAGACCUUCAUACACACACACACACACACACACACACACACACACACACACACACACACACUCACACUCACACACACACACACACACACAAACACACUCACACACACACACACACACUCCAUUCAGCUCAAGUCAGUCAGGCUGUUUGUUUCAUACCAGUGUGUGUGUGUGUGUGUGUGUGUGUGUGUGUGUGUGUGUUUAGCUAUUUUAAGCAUGUUUUGGGGACAUCCUCUUCUGUAAACACACCAUAAAAUAAAUAGAGGUUUGUGAGAUUUUUAUUGGUUAAAAUGCUGAACAUGUUCGUGUUUUCUUAUGGUAUUUAUUAUAACUAGUGGUAAGUAAAAACAGUAAGUCUGUGGAAUGUGUCCGCUGAUCUAAGACUGUCAACAUGACACAGAUAUAAUAUAUGAUGUUUACUCUGAUCAGCAGAGGUGAUUUAACAACUUCUUUUUUCUUUCCACAGUUAUAUAUAUUAAAUGUUUUAUUGUCUCUGUCUGGAUGUAAGUGAAGAAUUAUUUGUAAGUUUUGUUUUUUCAGGUUCUGAUGAUUAAUGUGUACACAUGCACCUCAUUAUUAAUGUGCUUUUCCAUUAAUGACUGCUGUCUGUUUCUGUUGAACUAUCGGUGUGUGUGCAUUCAUCUCUUCAAAGAUGUGUUCAAAUGUAUUAUUUUCUGGGCUGUUUCAAAUAUGAAAAAAUAUUGUUAACAUGUUUCUUUAUGCUCAAAGAAAUAUAGUGUCACAAAUCGACUGAUUUAACACAAAUGCCGACAUCUGUCUGCGUGUAGCUGUGUGUGUUUUUCUGACUGUGUGUGUGUUUGUGUUCUGAGAUCCAGAG